AGAUGAACUGACUCAUCCAAGGUUACAAGGCCAGCUAGAGGCAGAGCUGGGAAUGAAAUCCCUGGGGACUCCUGAGAAAAGAGAGUUUGGCAUGCCUCCCACUGCGUACCGCAAAAGAAACAUGAGUUGACUGUUUUAAAUACACUCUCCCUCCAGAUGCUGGAUGACAUGAUGAGCCUGGCUGGGAGCCCACUCUCUGCUCCAUCGGCCCACCCUCCCUUUGUGUUGUCUGUGGGUGGAGUAAGCUGUUGCCAACCGUGGCCAAAUGAAAAGCCCGAUGCCCUCCCUUCUCUCUAAAAGCUAUUUAUUGUUUUCCGAGGAGCCAGCCAUCAAAGAGAUCUCCUGUGCCCCACGCACUCCUCCCAACUCCCAGUUUUUGACUGAAAAAAUGCUAACAUCCGACCAGAUACCAGAAAAACAUCCUGAAAGACAAUGCCUGGACUCUUAUUUCCUAGGGAGCAGGACCAGGGCUUAUUACCACAUCAGCCUAUCUUGUUUUUACUGCUGUGAUGUUGCUGACAACAUAGCUGAAAUCUCCAACGUC
Molecule: long non-coding RNA, 544 nt
Organism: Homo sapiens (human)
Lineage: Eukaryota; Metazoa; Chordata; Mammalia; Primates; Hominidae
Exons: 2
Source: RefSeq, a predicted model, not a curated record